Molecule: ribosomal RNA, 253 nt
Filed under: uncultured bacterium
Lineage: Bacteria
Description: partial 16S ribosomal RNA
Rfam family: Bacterial small subunit ribosomal RNA
Source: RNAcentral
UACGUAGGCAGCGAGCGUUGUUCGGAGUUACUGGGCGUAAAGGGUGUGUAGGCGGUUGUUUAAGUUUGGUGUGAAAUCUCCCGGCUCAACUGGGAGGGUGCGCCGAAUACUGAGAGGCUAGAGUGCGGGAGAGGAAAGUGGAAUUCCUGGUGUAGCGGUGAAAUGCGUAGAUAUCUGGAGGAACACCGGUGGCGAAGGCGGCAUCCUGGACCGACACUGACGCUGAGGAGCGAAAGCCAGGGGAGCAAACGGG